Molecule: long non-coding RNA, 1650 nt
Filed under: Heterocephalus glaber (naked mole-rat)
Lineage: Eukaryota; Metazoa; Chordata; Mammalia; Rodentia; Bathyergidae
Description: lncRNA (ENSHGLG00000032689.1)
Source: RNAcentral
GAGAGGCCUACAGCUUGCCCAGGCUCACACAGCUCGCAGUGACAAGGGCAGGGUCCAGGCCCUGCUUUACACCAGGUAGCCUGUCCUGCGGGCUGGGGGCCCUGCGGGUCUCUGGCCCCAUCGUGGCUGUGCUUGCCCUCAGAGCCCAUGAGGUCAGAAGUGUCGGGGGUGGCAGAGGGCUGCAGCUAAAUUAGCAGUUAAAGUUGAGCAGAGGGGGCACAGGUGAGGGGACUGGAACCUGAUCUUUAGAUCUGAUUUACAGCCCAGGAAACUAAGUCCACUGAUUGUUCAGUGUGAUCACCUUAAAAUUCCCCUGGAGUAAGUAGGAUCCUGCAUUCUGGUCGGCUCCUCCCCAGGCAACAGGCACAGCUAUAUUUAGCGCCAUCCAUCCGGAGCUGCUGUGGUGGCCGGGCAGCGUGUGGCUCCAGGAGUGGCUGCCACGCACCCUGGUGGUGGAGAGGGACUGGCGCUCAGGCUGGGUCCGCUGAGCUCAAGGGGGAAGCAGCCGUGUGCAGAGCACGGACGCUGCUCCGGCCACAGAGGCAGGCAGACUCCUCAUGGAGGCCGGCCGCUCCCCCUGAGAGAAACCAGAACCUGCGGUUUCCCUCCCACAGCUCCAAGCCCUACUGACUCUGCCCUCUUAAUAGCUUCCUGAGGCCUCCUUGGCUUCCUCGCUGCAGUUUGUAUCCCUCACAUUUUUUUCACCUGGAUGAGCAACAGCCUCCUAAAUGCUGUGUUCUGUUCUUUAAUUAGUUCCCUUCGCUGUCACCAAAAAUAGCUCCAUAAGGCAGAAAGCCAUUAUGUCACUCCCCUACCAGACCUGUCUCGGCAGCUGUCACGCUGAGGAGCACUCUGACGUCCAGCCCCAGCUGCUCUUGCCCGGCUGCACCAGGUGCUCCGGGCCGCCUCCUUCUGCACCCUCGCCUGCCCUGUGGGGACCCUGACACCUCCACUCAGGCUACACCUCAGUGCACCAGGCCGAACUCUGAGCCAAGGCCCUGGAGGGAGACAGCACAUCCUCGCUCAGCUCACUGCAGCACUGUGCAGACGCCUGCAGCACGGGUCCUUCACCCGUCCAUUCUGUCAGAAUUUUUCAAGCAUCUGCCAUAUGUGAGAAGAUGCUGGGGAGUGUUCUGGGAAUGUGUGGUGAACAAGACACGAAGCCCUGACUUCCGUGGCACUUCCAUUCUUACAAGCCCAUCCAGGGUUUCAAGUCACUGAGCCCUUCCCGGGGCCCAAGACGGGGUGAAGAGCAUUAACUGACUCUGCGCCCCUGCUGAGGGGGCAGAUGCAAACAGCGACCCACAAGGGAGCUCCUUGGCUUGCAUCCUGGAGGACGGGAGGACGGCGGGUGGCCAGGACCAGCCACGGGCGCCCCGGCCUGGCACCCACUCUGUGCCGCCAUAUGGGGCUGUGAAACCGGGAAGCCGUGUGGGGUGGAAGGGGCCCUCGCCUUCCAGGCUUCCCAAGGACGAGGAUGAAGACAGGGCCCGCUGCCCGCUGGCUGGGAGCAGUAGGUGCCGGGCGGAAAGGCCAGGACAGAGGACAGCGGCGCUGGAUUCGGAGUCAGCAGCAGUCCGGGCCACACGAGAAGGGAGCAGAUGUGGAGCAGAAUGGAGAAUUCAUUUGGCUUGAUUGGUUGCGUGGAGG